AUUGAACGCUGGCGGCAUGCUUUACACAUGCAAGUCGAACGGCAGCGCGGGCUUCGGCCUGGCGGCGAGUGGCGAACGGGUGAGUAAUACAUCGGAACGUGCCCAGUAGUGGGGGAUAGCUCGGCGAAAGCCGGAUUAAUACCGCAUACGACCUGAGGGUGAAAGCGGGGGAUCUUCGGACCUCGCGCUUUUGGAGCGGCCGAUGGCAGAUUAGCUAGUUGGUGGGGUAAAGGCCUACCAAGGCGACGAUCUGUAGCUGGUCUGAGAGGACGACCAGCCACACUGGGACUGAGACACGGCCCAGACUCCUACGGGAGGCAGCAGUGGGGAAUUUUGGACAAUGGGCGAAAGCCUGAUCCAGCAAUGCCGCGUGUGUGAUGAAGGCCUUCGGGUUGUAAAGCACUUUUGGCGGGAACGAAAAGGACUGUGCCAAUACCACGGUUCGAUGACGGUACCCGCGGAAUAAGCACCGGCUAACUACGUG
RNAcentral lists this ribosomal RNA (484 nucleotides) under uncultured bacterium. RNAcentral describes it as "partial 16S ribosomal RNA". It matches the Rfam family "Bacterial small subunit ribosomal RNA", at positions 29 to 507 of the family's 1533-position model. The record is from RNAcentral.